UGUGUUGCUUACCUAUCGAAAGGAAUUCGAAUGUAUCGUUGUCCCUAUUCGCCCGAUGCCCUUUGCGGGUAUAGGGUGGACGCUACGCACGCUACNUGUUCCUUGCAUGCCUUGCCUUGCUGCAGGGCUGUUGAGGCCCGUGUAGCUGUUGCUCGUUCUCUCGGAUGCGGAAUGCCAUGCGUGGGCGCAAGGCCUCGGCCUUUGCUUGCCCAAGCUGUGCAUUUGUCCCUUGACAUGAACGACUGCCACGAUCGUCUUGAUCCCGUUGUAGCCUGCGUGCUAGAUGUGGCUCAUGCGUUCGUUGGUGUCGUCGAGGAAUGCUACCUGGUUGAUCCUGCCAGUAGUCAU
RNAcentral lists this unclassified non-coding RNA (348 nucleotides) under Comocladia mollissima. Its description in RNAcentral is "partial external transcribed spacer". The record is from RNAcentral. Lineage: Eukaryota; Viridiplantae; Streptophyta; Magnoliopsida; Sapindales; Anacardiaceae.